Non-coding RNA from Malus domestica (apple), 1521 nucleotides. Lineage: Eukaryota; Viridiplantae; Streptophyta; Magnoliopsida; Rosales; Rosaceae. The record is from RefSeq and is a predicted model, not a curated record.
AAAAUAUAAAAAAAAUAAAAAAUGGUUUUUAAAUUUUAAAUGGUGAGCCGUAGGGCCCACUCCUGAAUUGUUGUCCCCAAGUCUCCUAUCUCUCCCUCUCAGUUCUCUUUUCCUCUUAUAUUUCCCUGUACCUUUUCUUUCCUUUCUCUCCGGCGCCGAGAAAGAAACCAGACACCACCAGUGCCCUUUCCUUCACAAAUCAAACCCCAAAAUCAUAUAUUUGGAAUCCUUGAGACUUAACGAGCUCAAUGGUACCCUUGCAUGCGCCAUCAGAGCAUCGUGGAGUUUUCUGCCAUUGAAGCCGAGAGCUUCAAAGCUCUAAAACUCGAACCCAGCUCCGACGACGAACUCCGACGAGUUCGAGGUCCAUCUCUUCCCAAAACCUGCUGCAGUGCAUCUGGGUGAAGUUGCUAGUGAAGACUUCCUUAAUCUUUUUCCGCACAAUUCUGCUGCUUCGGAGUAUCUGUGAGUGGACCACCUUCAAAAAUUGCAUGUUUUAUUGAUAGAAUUGUAUAAUUUAAUAGCAUGCCUUGCAGAUUGAUUGAUUUGAGGAAUGCUUUACAGGAAGCAUGAUGAUUUGAUUAUACGUGAUUAUAUAUAUGUUUUCAAUUAUUUUCAUUAUAUCGUAUUUUCUAUAGAACCCUCAUUCUGGUAGACUAUCUAAUCGAUGACGAUAGGAUGCUAAGAAUGUUGUUUCAAAUGAUUUUUGAACACCUCUUCGUAAUAUAGAGGAUCGAUGAAUUUAUGCUACGAAGUUGUAUUUUAGAGAUGAAUUAUGUUUUGUGCGUAUCUAGUGAACACUAUGCCGCCUGGGGCGAGGAUCUGGUGUUGGCAUUGCGGCCGGGAGAAAUAAUCCCUAGCGAAAGGCUGAGGGACACGGAGACAGGCAUUGAGUCGGGAGGGAGAUAUCUCUGGCUACGGGCACAGAGACUGAGGUGCAGGCAUUGGGCUGGGAGUAUUGUUAUUCAGUGCACUCACUAGCAGCACAACUUGUGUUAUGCUUCCUGAUAUGAUUUCUGAUAUGAUUUUCUGAGAUUGAUUUGCAGAGAGAUAUAUGAAUUAUUUUUAUGGCAUGCUAGAGGUUUUGAGAAACCUAUCACUUAUUAUUUAGUAGUUUUCAUUAUCUUAACUGUGGGGGUUAGUAUGUUUAUAAUUGUUUUUGUAUUAUGUAUGUAUAUAAACUUGGUCCACUCACCUUUUUUUUGCGCCUCCAUUCAGGUCUUAGGGACGAGGACUACAACGCAAUAUACGAGGCAUUCCCCUACCAGUAGCUGCGUCUAUUUUCUUUGUGUGAAAUCUGUAAUAGUCUUUCUUUUUGAAAUCUCGAAUUAGAACAUGCUCUGUGCACUCUAGUCACUUUCUUAAGCACUGUUUAUUUCCUUUAGACCUUCUGAGAAUUAUAUUUAUACUUUCUCCUAAUCUUUACUCUUGUAUUCAAUAAAUAGCUUUCGUCACCUCGAGUGUCAGCCAGCACGUACCUAUCCUGAUGUUCGGGGAAUAUCGGGUCGGGGCGUGUUACAU